AACGAACGCUGGCGGCAUGCCUAACACAUGCAAGUCGAACGAGACCUUCGGGUCUAGUGGCGCACGGGUGCGUAACGCGUGGGAACCUGCCCUUAGGUUCGGAAUAACUCCCCGAAAGGGGUGCUAAUACCGGUUAAUGUCUUCGGACCAAAGAUUUAUCGCCUUUGGAUGGGCCCGCGUUGGAUUAGCUAGUUGGUAGGGUAAAAGCCUACCAAGGCGACGAUCCAUAGCUGGUCUGAGAGGAUGAUCAGCCACACUGGGACUGAGACACGGCCCAGACUACUACGGGAGGCAGCAGUGGGGAAUAUUGGACAAUGGGCGAAAGCCUGAUCCAGCAAUGCCGCGUGAGUGAUGAAGGCCUUAGGGUUGUAAAGCUCUUUUACCCGGGAUGAUAAUGACAGUACCGGGAGAAUAAGCUCCGGCUAACUCCGUG
RNAcentral lists this ribosomal RNA (433 nucleotides) under uncultured bacterium. Its description in RNAcentral is "partial 16S ribosomal RNA". It matches the Rfam family "Bacterial small subunit ribosomal RNA", at positions 29 to 507 of the family's 1533-position model. The record is from RNAcentral.